Molecule: long non-coding RNA, 957 nt
Filed under: Homo sapiens (human)
Lineage: Eukaryota; Metazoa; Chordata; Mammalia; Primates; Hominidae
Description: HSALNT0174299
Source: RNAcentral
ACACUCCUUUCCUCUGGGCAUAGGGAGGAAUGCUCUGGAAUGAGUUUUAUGAGCAACUUCCAGGGGAAGGUCAGCUAGGACUUAUGACACACUUCAGGGAAGAAGGGGUCUCAGAGAGAUCUUCCUGCCUCUGCUAUUUUCUCAGAUGCCAAGGAGCACUUAUCUCUGAAGUCUCACUUUUUAAAUAUGUUACAAUGAAUUGUGAUCCUGUUUUAUGUAUCUGACUGACAGCACUGGGAAUUAAGUUCCUCAGCCAAUGAAAUAAUAAACCCAAUGCCACGAUAAAACCUACGGUAGAGACUGAUAAGGACUCCAGAUCCAGGCUGCUAAUACUCUUCAAAGUCAUUCAGCUGUGGCUACUACAUGAUGUCUGAGUGUUUCCACAAGGCACUGUUUUGGACAUUGGGAACAUCGAAGUAGAGUGAGCAUCAUCAUGAAUGGAAACACUUUCUCUGAAAAAAGACAUAAAACAAUUGAAAGUCAGCAGUGUCUUUCUUGCAAAAUAUUAUGAAGAUCAGGACAAUUAGAAUUAGGUAUACUCCAAUUCCAUUUUAGAAUUUGCAAUAGAGAAGGUGCUUUGGGAAUGGAAUUAAAUGAGCUGAUUCAUGUAAAGGGAUUUAACUGGGUGCCGGACCUGUCAUAAACUCUUAACGUGAACAGGAGAGUUACUGUAAAAACUGAGACAACAAAACAGCCGGAGGCAUGAAAAGAAAAAGAAUCCCGCAUGAAUAGCUUGCUAUAUGUAAUUUGGUUAGGAACAAUUCACAGGUUUUGACAGCUUUAUUAGAGUUCCAUUUUAGUAAGAUUCAGGUGAAAGUGAGGUCAUCACUUUAAAACAAAAAUCCUGAGAACAUACCCAGAUGGACUCACAUAAAUGAUGUAUACUAAUGUCGUCAAGUAAAUAUUUUAAAGAGUUAAUUGCUUUCUUUAUUAAAAACUGGAUUUAAAUACUCCAUU